GAUGGCAUAGAUGUCUGAUGGGGAGGAAAUCACCAGAAUCUUGUGGCUGAGGGGCUACCCUGUGACAGAAGACUGUAAUUUUGAACUCGCUGCAUCCUACAAAGCCCUACAUGAGUGGGAUCCUCCUCCCUCCCCCAACUACCUACGUCAUUUCCUACCACUCCUCCCCCUUCACUCUCUUCCAGCCACAUGGCCUCCUUGAUGUUCCUCAAAUGGACAGGCACACUCCCACCUCAGGGCCUUUGCAUGAACUGUGUCUCUGCCUGGUUCACUCCUCCUCCCAGACUUCUACAUGCCUCACUUUCUUACCUUUUUAAGUUUUGACUCAAAUGUCACCAUCUCAGGGAGACCUUCCCUGGCCUCCUUGUGUAAAACUGCAAUGCCCCAGACACUUCGAAUCUUUGCCUGCUUCAUUUUAUACCUUAGCACGUGUCAUUAUCUACCGUGCCAUAUGGUUUCCUUUUUUAUUUUGUUUAAUGCCUAGUGUGGGUAGAAUUGUGUCUCCCCAAAAGAUAUGUUCAAGUCCUAACCCCCAGGACCUGUGAAUAUGCCCUUGUUUGGAUAUAGUGUCUUUGUGGAUAUAAUCAGUUAAAAUGAGGUCACGCUGGAUGGAGGCAGGGGUGGGGAGGGGUGAUAAUCUGAUGCCUUUAUAACAAUAGAGGAAUAUGGACACAAACACAGAGAGAAAACCAUGAGAAAACCAAAACCAGAGAAAACCAAAAACAACAGAGAUACACUCAGGAAAGAAGGUGAUGUGAAGACAGAGGCAAAGAUUGAGUGAUCCAGGACUGCUCUGGUGGUGCUGUGGUUAAGAAUCCGCCUGCCGAUGCAAGGGACACAGGUUCGAGCCCUGGUCUGGGAAGAUCCCACAUGCUGCGGAGCAACUAAGCCCGUGCGCCACAACUACUGAGCCCGUGUGCCUAGAGCCCAUGCUCCACAACAAGAGAAGCCACCACAACGAGAAGCCCACGCACCGCAACAAAGAGUAGCCCCCGCUCGCCACAACUAGAGAAAGCCCGCGCACAGCAAGGAAGACCCAAUGUGGCCAAAAAUAAAUAAAACAAAUAAAUUUAUUUUUUUUAAAAAAAAGAUUGAGUGGAUCCUACGACAAGCCAAAGAGUGCCUGGGGCCACCAGAAGCUGGACAUGCUGUAUUCUUCGAGUGAUGCCUGGCCCAGGAGAGGCUCUCAAGACUGCAACUGCCAGAGCCUUAGUUAUCUGCACUGCUAAGGGAAGAAAAGCCAGGAACAGUCCCUAUAAGGAAUCCAGGCCUUUUCUUCCUGGAGAGGUUUGUGGAACAUAAAAGACGGUGAAUGAAAACAACGACGAGGACGAUGGUGGUGGCCGCCACCGCACACUGUGUUUGUCCGUGCCAGGCAAUGUUUGAGCAUUUGCCCUUAUCGGCCAGUGACACAAGAAAUCUGAUCUCUAGGGGAGCCAUGUAAUUUGGACAAAAUCAAGAGAUAAAUGGCAGGGC
This is a non-coding RNA of Kogia breviceps (pygmy sperm whale), 1476 nucleotides long. The record is from RefSeq and is a predicted model, not a curated record. NCBI's taxonomy places the organism in Eukaryota, Metazoa, Chordata, Mammalia, Artiodactyla, Physeteridae.